This 294-nucleotide long non-coding RNA is filed under the name Rattus norvegicus (Norway rat). RNAcentral describes it as "long non-coding RNA NONRATT017907". The record is from RNAcentral. Lineage: Eukaryota; Metazoa; Chordata; Mammalia; Rodentia; Muridae.
GCCGGCACUGUGAGAGUCUGAGUGGUCCUGAGGGAGCCCCCUACUCAGGAGCAAGACCCAAAAGGACACAGAGGCUGAGUGCGGAGACCUGGGACCUGCUGCGGCUCCCCCUGGACCGGGAGCAAAAUGGAGAGACCCACCACACAGGGGACUGGAGGGGUCCAAGCAGGGACUCGCUUCCUCUCCCCAUGAGGAGCAGGAAGUACCAGGAAGGUCCAGAUGCCAUUGAGAGGAGACCCCGGGAGGGUAGCCACUCUCCACUGGACAGUGCUGAUGUAAGGGUACAGGUGCCUC